AUAAAUAUAUAUAGGUAGACCAUUAAUAUUAAGCGCGCUGAGCAAUCGCUUACUUUGCCCAUAUAUAUGAGACCUCUCUAAACAAUUCCACAAUCUAGUUAUAACUAAAGCAAAGCCUCCCUCUUUGACACCCAAAAAAAAAAAAUAACUAAAGCAAAGCCUACUCUUACCAUUUAUGAUUUAUCCCUUCUUCGUUAAUAAAUGUGGCUAAGUCACUCAAUAAUCAUUGUUAUUUGCUGGUAUAACAUCGGUCAAAUCUUUUGCUAAACACAGUAAAUGUAAAGAAAGCAGAGUUCACUUAAUCAAAUCCCUAAUUUAUCUGCUAAAUACUCGAAGUUUGGCUAGAUUUAUUAUGUUGCUAAAAUUUUGCACUAGCAGUAAAAUGUUCAAAUAAUUAGAGAGUACGUGUUUCUAGGUUGAAAAAAAAUCAUUUGGCAAUCACUAUACAAAUUCUUACAUAGAAAUUCCUCCCCACAAAAAAAAAAAGAAGAAAAAAGUUUUCAUCACUAACCUUUUUCUCUUCUCAUCCCCAAAUUUCUUCGCUGUUGAAAAUCCUUAUAAUUUUCGUCCUUUAAAGUGUCUGUAAUCUCGUUAAUUUUGUGCAAGAGGAUUCAAUACUUAGGCUUGUAUCCUUUGUUGCUCUGUUGCUUGCGAACCCCUUUCCAUGAGUUGCAUCACCUGAAAUGGCACAACAAGAAGUAGAUACCAAAUUUGGUGAAUUGACAUCAGGUAAUAGUGAAGCAGGCCUGGCUGGUUUGGAGAAACAACUCCCUGUUCCCUUAAAGAAAACACCACUCAGAGAUCUUCAGAGUGAAAAUAAUAUUGUAGCACAAAAGGGCUCUAGUAUUCCUCUUGCUCUUAAGGAAGUAGCCAUCACAGAGGCUGCGAAGGUGUCAGGUAUUAAGCGACCUUCUCCUGACUCCCCAAUGAGUCCUCAUCAGCAAUCUUCUAGCAGUAGUGGUGCAAAUGGUCAUCUUGUGUAUGUUCGCCGGAAGUCUGAAGCUGAAACUGGUAAAAGCAGUACCAAUGAGGUUAUAAAUGACAAUGCUAUUCCUCCCCAACCAAGCCAGGUUGUCCAUCAAGAAGUUGAGCUUCGACCAAAGUCUCAGAUUAAUGAAUCCCAGAUGCAACCUCUACCUGCAUAUUCACCAUUUCCUGCCUCUGUUAUGAGUGUACCGUCUGGGAAACCUUCCAUUCCCUUCCCUCUUGGGAGUUCCAAUACCAAAAUGGCUUUUGAAGAACCUAGGAGUCAGGCAGUUCCAUCUACUAUCACUGUGGCUGUUGAAGAAAGAGUCAAAAAGCAGAAUUGGGAGGAGAGAUAUAUUGAACUGCAGAUGUACCUGAAAAAGUUAGAUCAAUCAAGUCUGGAGGACCAUCUUCAAUUGGAGAUCGUGUCAAAGCAAAUGAGAAGUGCUUCGGUCUCUUUCAGCUGUUGAACUUAGCAGACACGCUGUUGAACUGGAAAAGCAAGCAAUCCAACUUUCUCUGGAACAAGGGAAAGAGCUGCAGCGUGUGAAAGCCCUGAAUGUGCUCGGAAAAUCCAUGAAGACUUCCUGUGGACCAUCUGCUCAACAACAAACACCACAGAGCUGACUCUGGCAUGUAUCUGAAGUUUUGAUAUAUAUCUACCUCAACCUGCAAUUAGCUGCUGUCUAUGCGUUCUUUCUUUGUAUUAGUCUACCUGACACGCAAAUUUGUUGCUCUUGAUGUUGCUGUCUCAUUAGCACCUGUAAGUCUGUUACCAUCUAACAACUACUUGUAUCUAGUUUAAUCUCAUUUCUGUACUUCUCAGCUUUAGGUAAUGUAAAAGAGCUCGGAUAAUUGAUUGACCCAUACUAUCUAAUGCAAUGACCACUCCUUCCCUUGUUUC
This is an RNA transcript of Beta vulgaris subsp. vulgaris (sugar beet), 1870 nucleotides long. RefSeq lists it as hypothetical. NCBI's taxonomy places the organism in Eukaryota, Viridiplantae, Streptophyta, Magnoliopsida, Caryophyllales, Amaranthaceae. The transcript has 5 exons. The record is from RefSeq and is a predicted model, not a curated record.